Molecule: ribosomal RNA, 175 nt
Filed under: Cystocoleus ebeneus
Lineage: Eukaryota; Fungi; Ascomycota; Dothideomycetes; Mycosphaerellales; Cystocoleaceae
Description: 5.8S ribosomal RNA
Rfam family: 5.8S ribosomal RNA (bases 19-172)
About the family: 5.8S ribosomal RNA (5.8S rRNA) is a component of the large subunit of the eukaryotic ribosome. It is transcribed by RNA polymerase I as part of the 45S precursor that also contains 18S and 28S rRNA.
Source: RNAcentral
AAAGAGUAAAUCGAUUAAAACUUUCAACAACGGAUCUCUUGGUUCUGGCAUCGAUGAAGAACGCRGCGAAAUGCGAUAAGUAAUGUGRAUUGCAGAAUUCRGUGAAUCAUCGAAUCUUUGAACGCACAUUGCGCCCUUUGGUAUUCCGAGGGGCAUGCCCGUUCGAGCGUCAUUA